RNAcentral lists this ribosomal RNA (180 nucleotides) under uncultured bacterium. Its description in RNAcentral is "partial 16S ribosomal RNA". It matches the Rfam family "Bacterial small subunit ribosomal RNA", at positions 1322 to 1500 of the family's 1533-position model. The record is from RNAcentral.
GAAGCUGGAAUCGCUAGUAAUCGCAGGUCAGCAUACUGCGGUGAAUACGUUCCCGGGUCCUUGUACACACCGCCCGUCACACCAUGGGAGCCGGAAAUGCCCGAAGCCAGUGACCCAACCUUAGGGAGGGAGCUGUCGAAGGUGGAGCCGGUAACUGGGGUGAAGUCGUAACAAGGUAAC